AACGCGAAGAACCUUACCAGCCCUUGACAUGUCCCGUAUGAGUACCAGAGAUGUCUUCUUCUCUUCGGAGCCGGGGACACAGGUGCUGCAUGGCUGUCGUCAGCUCGUGUCGUGAGAUGUUGGGUUAAGUCCCGCAACGAGCGCAACCCUCGCCCUUAGUUGCCAUCAUUCAGUUGGGCACUCUAGGGGGACUGCCGGUGAUAAGCCGGAGGAAGGUGGGGAUGACGUCAAGUCCUCAUGGCCCUUACAGGCUGGGCUACACACGUGCUACAAUGGCGGUGACAACGGGAUGCGAAGGGGCGACCCCGAGCAAAUCUCGAAAAGCCGUCUCAGUUCGGAUUGCACUCUGCAACUCGAGUGCAUGAAGUUGGAAUCGCUAGUAAUCGCAGAUCAGCACGCUGCGGUGAACACGUUCCCGGGCCUUGUACACACCGACGCGUA
This 441-nucleotide ribosomal RNA is filed under the name uncultured bacterium. RNAcentral describes it as "bacterial SSU rRNA". It matches the Rfam family "Bacterial small subunit ribosomal RNA", at positions 958 to 1399 of the family's 1533-position model. The record is from RNAcentral.